UUGUUUUUGUUUUUAAAGUUGGAAGUUUCUUUCAAUUCAAACUCUGCCUGCUUUUAGAUGGCUCCUCCUGGAACUAUGCCUCAACGUCUCUCCUGAUACUUGGAUACUUUUCCUCUGACUGAUCAGGAUCCUGAACACCAGAGAGGGCCGCUGACAGGUCCAGGAUUACACUCUUAGCACCUGGCAGAAAGAGGAUUCACUACAUCGUGCUUCCUGACAUCUCUCCCUUUGAAGAGCAGUCAGAUUCCUGCUUUGCUCUUCAGACUUAGUUUGGGGGUUUAACAGGUGAGGUUGCUGGGGGAACUCUUUUACAAUAUCUCUCUGAAAGAAUCCAGGCUGCCAGUUUCAUUUGGUUUGGGAGUCAGUAGCAUGAUGGAAAGACAAAAAAACACAACUUGACAUCUGAAGAAAUGGGUUCAAAUUUUACCUGCAACUUACCAGUUCUGGGGCCUUGGUUCAGCAAUGAAACUCCCUAAAACUCAGUUUUUUCUUUUGUAAAAUGGGGUUAUGAACAGUACCUACUUCAAAAUGUGUUUGUGAAGAUUAAAUAAGUUAACAUAAAGA
Mandrillus leucophaeus (drill) is the source of this 564-nucleotide long non-coding RNA. RefSeq lists it as uncharacterized. NCBI's taxonomy places the organism in Eukaryota, Metazoa, Chordata, Mammalia, Primates, Cercopithecidae. The transcript has 2 exons. The record is from RefSeq and is a predicted model, not a curated record.